This 506-nucleotide ribosomal RNA is filed under the name uncultured bacterium. RNAcentral's name for it is "partial 16S ribosomal RNA". The record is from RNAcentral.
GGAGUUAGCCGGUGCUUCUUCUGUGAGUGAUGUCCUUCCUGCCGGUUAUUGACCCGCAGGCCUUCUUCCUCACUGAAAGUGCUUUACAACCCGAAGGCCUUCUUCACACACGCGGCAUGGCUGGAUCAGGGUUGCCCCCAUUGUCCAAUAUUCCCCACUGCUGCCUCCCGUAGGAGUCUGGGCCGUGUCUCAGUCCCAGUGUGGCUGAUCAUCCUCUCAGACCAGCUACGGAUCGUCGCCUUGGUGAGCCGUUACCUCACCAACCAGCUAAUCCGACAUAGGCUCAUCCGAUAGCGCGAGGCCCGAAGGUCCCCCGCUUUCCCCCGUAGGGCGUAUGCGGUAUUAGCCUGGGUUUCCCCAGGUUAUCCCCCACUACCGGGCAGAUUCCUAUGCAUUACUCACCCGUCCGCCGCUCGCCACCAGGGAGCAAGCUCCCCGUGCUGCCGCUCGACUUGCAUGUGUUAGGCCUGCCGCCAGCGUUCAAUCUGACCAAGAUCAAAUUCUGA